Molecule: non-coding RNA, 379 nt
Organism: Nothobranchius furzeri (turquoise killifish)
Lineage: Eukaryota; Metazoa; Chordata; Actinopteri; Cyprinodontiformes; Nothobranchiidae
Source: RefSeq, a predicted model, not a curated record
CGGGCCGGCCAGCAUUAAAACUUAAAAACAAUGGCGGACAGUGAAGCGGGAGCUGUCGGAGAGGAUUGCGCAUAUAAAUGAACAAAAGAGAAAACCAGGGAAUUUAUUAAGCUUAGGGCGGAGAUGGACCACAUGAUCACCGGAGCAAAGUAUUCGGCGGCUGUGGCAUGGAGACUAUUCUGGAGAAAAUGGGCAUCCAGGGGAAGGUGCCAGCGAUGACCAGCUUCUGGAUCUGAUCAGGGAGAACAUGAGGCUGCAGAGGGAGGCAGAGGGCCCAGGAGAGAAGGAAUAACUUUGACAGCUUUUUACUUUGCUAGAAAAAAAUGGUUAAUAAAGAUUAAACAUGUACAUAUAAAAGAAAUAUCUAAAUAAAAUCAGU